GGGCCGUUAGCUCAGGUGGUAGAGCAGCUGACUCUUAAUCAGCGGGUCUAAGGUUCGAGUCCUUAACGGCCCACCA
Molecule: transfer RNA, 76 nt
Filed under: Magnetococcales bacterium
Lineage: Bacteria; Pseudomonadati; Pseudomonadota; Magnetococcia; Magnetococcales
Description: tRNA-Lys
Rfam family: tRNA
About the family: Transfer RNA (tRNA) molecules are approximately 80 nucleotides in length.
Source: RNAcentral